UGAGAUCCACCUUUAAUCUAGGCCACGAC
RNAcentral lists this non-coding RNA (29 nucleotides) under Mus musculus (house mouse). The record is from RNAcentral. Lineage: Eukaryota; Metazoa; Chordata; Mammalia; Rodentia; Muridae.